CAGCGUGAGUUAGAUGAAGAGGACAAUUCUAGUUCCAGUGAAGAGGAUCGGGAAUCAACUGCACAGAAGCGAAUUGAAGAGUGGAAACAGCAGCAGCUGGUUAGAGAGAAAUGCUAAUUUUGAAGCCCUUCCUGAGGAUUGGAGAGCAAGGCUGAAGAGAAGGAAAAUGGCUCCAAACACAUAGUUUUUAAGUUUUUAAAACUUUUUUGUAUUAUUGUUUGUUUUGUGUUCAGUUCAAAGUCUUAACCAGUUUUAUUGUCAAAUAAACUAUAAAUGUUAUGGGGGAGAUCUUAUAAAUUUCCUGGGCAAGAGUGUAUGCAUACAAAGUUUUCACUUUUGUGAAAUGUAAUUUUUCUGUUUUUGCAAAGGGAUGAGGUGAUUGGAAUUGCUUUGACCAUGCUGCCUUUAUUCUCAAACUGGCAAACUUAGCAUGUUAGGUGUAUUAACCUCAUCAGUCUUGAAGAACAUGUGGCUCAUGAGUAUAACACUUCUGUAGAGGACUCCCUGACAAAAGUGAAGAAUUAACUUCUCCUCCAGAACAAGUGCAAUUCAGAAGGCAGCUCUGCAUUCUACCUUGCUUGACUGGAAUUGUCUGAAGCUUUUUCUGGCCUCUUUUCUCUAGUCGGCCACCCCUGAAGUGCUGAGGUCUAAGUGGUUUACCUCGUGCUGAUAGAUGGCCACACUCUUUAGAGUAGUUCUCAUAAGUUCUAGAACUGGUAGCUCGGUCGUUUCGCACACUAGGUGGCAUACAGGCAGCAGCAGGUGUUCAUAUCCUUGAUUUUGAGAAUUUCCCCUCAAGUAUGUGGCAGUAAAUACAACAAGACACUCUAUGUAUUAAUGUCUCCAUUGUCUUAACCCUGUUCCAAAACAAAAUUCACCUCCUUUCUUUAUGUGAAUGUAUUCUCCAUAAAAUUCCAGUAUUUAAAAAGCAGUUUACUGUUCUGUACUUUCUGUUGUAUCACAAUCAGGUAAAAGUCACUUUAAACUGAGGAAACGGCAAAUUGUGUUUUAAAGCUCUUUGUAUUUCUCCAGUUUCUGACCUUGUAAAUUUGUAUAUAUGCACUAAUAAAGCUUUUUU
This 1078-nucleotide long non-coding RNA is filed under the name Homo sapiens (human). RNAcentral describes it as "HSALNT0175092". The record is from RNAcentral. Lineage: Eukaryota; Metazoa; Chordata; Mammalia; Primates; Hominidae.